CGCCUCUUGCAUAUAUAAGAAUAAGAGGUCCCGCCUGCCCUGUGACCGCAAGUUUAACGGCCGCGGUAUUUUGACCGUGCAAAGGUAGCGCAAUCACUUGUCUUUUAAAUAAAGACCCGUAUGAAUGGCAUAACGAGGGCUAAACUGUCUCCUUACCCAGGUUAAUGAAAUUGAUCUUUCCGUGCAGAAGCGGGAAUUACACCAUAAGACGAGAAGACCCUGUGGAGCUUUAGAUGAAUAAAUGAAUUUAUUUAACAUAAGCCCCCCUAAAAGGCAACAAGCCAGUAACCUCAUUUUAAUAUCUUUAGUUGGGGCGACCGCGGAGUAAAACAAAACCUCCGUGAGGAUUGAGGUAAAACCUUAUACCUAAGAAAGUCAUUUCUAAGCACCAAAAUAUUUGACCUAAAGAUCCGGCAAUAGCCGAUCAACGAACCUAGUUACCCCAGGGAUAACAGCGCAAUCCUCUUUGAGAGUCCCUAUCGACAAGGGGGUUUACGACCUCGAUGUUGGAUCAGGACAUCCUAAUGGUGUAGCCGCUAUUAAGGGUUCGUUUGUUCAACGAUUAAAGUCCU
This 572-nucleotide ribosomal RNA is filed under the name Hippocampus abdominalis (big-belly seahorse). Its description in RNAcentral is "partial large subunit ribosomal RNA". It matches the Rfam family "Bacterial large subunit ribosomal RNA", at positions 1817 to 2597 of the family's 2925-position model. The record is from RNAcentral. Lineage: Eukaryota; Metazoa; Chordata; Actinopteri; Syngnathiformes; Syngnathidae.